Molecule: ribosomal RNA, 631 nt
Filed under: uncultured fungus
Lineage: Eukaryota; Fungi
Description: eukaryotic LSU rRNA
Rfam family: Eukaryotic large subunit ribosomal RNA
Source: RNAcentral
CCCGCUGAACUUAAGCAUAUCAAUAAGCGGAGGAAAAGAAACUAACAAGGAUUCCCCUAGUAACUGCGAGUGAAGCGGGAAGAGCUCAAAUUUGAAAUCUGGCGGUCCCUUGGGCUGUCCGAGUUGUAAUCUAGAGAAGUGCUACCUGUGCUGGACCGUGUACAAGUCUCCUGGAAUGGAGCAUCACAGAGGGUGAGAAUCCCGUCUUUGACACGGACUGCCAUGUGCGAUAUGGUGCGCUCUCGAAGAGUCGAGUUGUUUGGGAAUGCAGCUCUAAGUGGGUGGUAAAUUCCAUCUAAAGCUAGAUAUUGGCGAGAGACCGAUAGCGAACAAGUACAGUGAUGGAAAGAUGAAAAGAACUUUGAAAAGAGAGUGAAAAAGUACGUGAAAUUGUUGAAAGGGAAGGGCUUGAAAUCAGACUUGGUAUUCAAUGAUCAAUUUUCUUUCGGGGAGAUGCACUCGUUGUUUACUGGGCCAACAUCGAUUUAGACGGUGAGAUAAUGACAGUUGAAUGUGGCUUGCUUCGGUAAGUGUUAUAGCUUCUGUUGAUAUCAUCAGUUUGGAUCGAGGACUGCGCAUUUUUGCUAGGAUGUUGGCGUAAUGAUUUUAAGCCACCCGUCUUGAAACACGG